Molecule: ribosomal RNA, 498 nt
Filed under: uncultured bacterium
Lineage: Bacteria
Description: partial 16S ribosomal RNA
Rfam family: Bacterial small subunit ribosomal RNA
Source: RNAcentral
AUUGAACGCUGGCGGCAUGCUUUACACAUGCAAGUCGAACGGUAACAGGUCUUCGGAUGCUGACGAGUGGCGAACGGGUGAGUAAUGUAUCGGAACGUGCCCAGUAGUGGGGGAUGACUACUCGAAAGAGUGGCUAAUACCGCAUGAGAACUGAGGUUGAAAGUGGGGGACCGCAAGGCCUCACGCUACUGGAGCGGCCGAUAUCAGAUUAGGUAGUUGGUGGGGUAAAGGCCUACCAAGCCUGCGAUCUGUAGCUGGUCUGAGAGGACGACCAGCCACACUGGGACUGAGACACGGCCCAGACUCCUACGGGAGGCAGCAGUGGGGAAUUUUGGACAAUGGGCGCAAGCCUGAUCCAGCAAUGCCGCGUGCAGGACGAAGGCCUUCGGGUUGUAAACUGCUUUUGUACAGAACGAAAAAGCCUCUUCUAAUAUAGGGGGUGCAUGACGGUACUGUAAGAAUAAGCACCGGCUAACUACGUGCCAGCAGCAGCCGCAG